Molecule: long non-coding RNA, 519 nt
Organism: Helianthus annuus (common sunflower)
Lineage: Eukaryota; Viridiplantae; Streptophyta; Magnoliopsida; Asterales; Asteraceae
Exons: 3
Source: RefSeq, a predicted model, not a curated record
GUAAGUGAAAAAAACAAGGUGAAUCGGGCAAAGAAGAAGAUGGUUCAAGUAACGGGUUAAAAAAGUUAUGCUCGAGUCCGUGAAGAGCUAAAGGCAUCUAAGGGACAAGAUCCAAGUCGAUUGGAAAUGUUUCAUGCAUGUUUCUCCAAAGAUGGAACUACCAAAAAUUUGGAAGCUUCAAAUGCAAUUGCACAAAUGCAACAACAUAGUUCUAAUCUUCCCGAGGGCUCGAUCGAUAAGCCUGGACCAGAUGAUGUUUUUUCUAAAGUAAUGGGUAAUGAUUGAAAUGGUGAUGUGGUUAUGUAUGGUCUGGGUGUUCAUGCUGCUAAUGUUUGGGGUGUAAUACCAAGUCGUUCGGCAUUUCAUAGAGAAAACAUCCAAUUGAAGUCUCAAUGUGAAGAACUUACUAGUACCGUGGUCCAGUUACGAGCCCAAGUAUCAGAGAUGGAAGGGUCGAGGGGUGGUUCCAGUGUUCAACCUCUUGCAUCACAACAUUUCCCCAAUGUAACCAAUGGACAU